UUGCAGAUGAGGAAUUACUCGGAUUCCCCUUCAAGAGAUCAUGGGUGAUGCAACCGAGUCUCUGAUGCU
This is a small nucleolar RNA of Salvia splendens (bonfire salvia), 69 nucleotides long. RefSeq annotates it as small nucleolar RNA snoR60. NCBI's taxonomy places the organism in Eukaryota, Viridiplantae, Streptophyta, Magnoliopsida, Lamiales, Lamiaceae. The transcript has a single exon. The record is from RefSeq and is a predicted model, not a curated record.